GAAGAUCUAUAUAAAAAUGUAUUUCUGUUUCUUCUUUGAACUUGAUUUCCUCUAAUGGAAUAUGUUUGAGUCGCAUGGUCGGAUUCGGAUCUACAGUUGCUUCUUUCCCUUCUUUCCCCUCUACUGUCUUUGUAUCAUCCGAGCCGCACCAUCGACGAUGAACGAAUAGAAACAGUCUACCAUUUCAUCUCUGGGAUUCCUUCGUGUGUGUCAUUUGGCUGUUGCUCCAGUGUCGUCAUUGUUGUGGUAGUAGCUUCAUUGACUCCAGCGAGUUUCGAGAUCUGGAUCGUAGCUCCGUUCCAGGCUUCCAUUUUCGGUACCGUUAACAGUGAUUAAUUAUAUUUCUAAGAAGGUUAAAUCCAUAUCGUGUGAACUAGGUGGCCAGAAGUAAUGUCUAGCAAGGGCGAAAGUUGAUGAAUCCAAAGGAUAUACGUAUCACACGUGAGACAGAAAAGAAAUAAAGAACAUGUGUACAUAAUGCAUGAAUCAUAUUCAUUUCAAGCUUACUGACUAGGUGUCAUACGUUAACUUCACUAAUCACCUUAAAGUUUGA
Molecule: long non-coding RNA, 553 nt
Filed under: Nicotiana benthamiana
Lineage: Eukaryota; Viridiplantae; Streptophyta; Magnoliopsida; Solanales; Solanaceae
Description: long non-coding RNA (NBEN_LNC008031)
Source: RNAcentral